GAUGAACGCUGGCGGCGUGCCUAAUACAUGCAAGUCGAGCGAACAGACGAGGAGCUUGCUCCUCUGACGUUAGCGGCGGACGGGUGAGUAACACGUGGAUAACCUACCUAUAAGACUGGGAUAACUUCGGGAAACCGGAGCUAAUACCGGAUAAUAUAUUGAACCGCAUGGUUCAAUAGUGAAAGACGGUUUUGCUGUCACUUAUAGAUGGAUCCGCGCCGCAUUAGCUAGUUGGUAAGGUAACGGCUUACCAAGGCAACGAUGCGUAGCCGACCUGAGAGGGUGAUCGGCCACACCGGAACUGAGGCACGGUCCAGACUCCUACGGGAGGCAGCAGUAGGGAAUCUUCCGCAAUGGGCGAAAGCCUGACGGAGCAACGCCGCGUGAGUGAUGAAGGUUUUCGGAUCGUAAAACUCUGUUAUUAGGGAAGAACAAAUGUGUAAGUAACUAUGCACGUCUUGACGGUACCUAAUCAGAAAGCCACGGCUAACUACGUG
RNAcentral lists this ribosomal RNA (497 nucleotides) under uncultured bacterium. RNAcentral describes it as "partial 16S ribosomal RNA". It matches the Rfam family "Bacterial small subunit ribosomal RNA", at positions 28 to 507 of the family's 1533-position model. The record is from RNAcentral.